GAGAAACUUUGAGAAGCGGGAUCGCUCAAAUCGCAUGAGUCUAAUGAUCAUUAAGCGCGGAAUUCUGGAAUCCUUUAGAGGUGCAAUAUCCGAAGAGAUAACUAAUGCUAAAGAGUUCUUUGUCGAAAUUGAGAAACGUUUUGUGAAAAACAAUAAGGCUGAAACAAGCACACUUUUGCAAAGCUUGAUUUCAAUAAAGUAUAAAGGCAAGGGGAACAUAAGGGAGUACAUCAUGAAGAUGUCUCACAUUGCUUCAAAACUUAAAGGGCUAAAGUUUGAGCUGUCUGAUGACUUGCUCGUGCAUUUGGUAUUUGUCUCACUUCUUACAUAGUUUAGUCAAUUUAAGGUCAGUUAUAACUGCUAGAAGGAUAAAUGGUCUCUAAAUGAGCUCAUUUCGUAUUGUGUGCAAGAGGAAGAAAGGUUGAAGCAAGAUAGAACUAAAGUUGCUCACUUGCCAAGCACUUCUAAAGAUAAGGGCAAGAAAAAGAUGAAGGAAUAUGAAACUGCUUCUAAGGGUCCA
Molecule: long non-coding RNA, 520 nt
Filed under: Olea europaea subsp. europaea
Lineage: Eukaryota; Viridiplantae; Streptophyta; Magnoliopsida; Lamiales; Oleaceae
Source: RNAcentral